CCCUACGGGGCGCAGCAGUGAGGAAUAUUGGUCAAUGGUCGGGAGACUGAACCAGCCAAGCCGCGUGAGGGAUGAAGGUACAGAGUAUCGUAAACCUCUUUUGUCAGGGAACAAAGGCGGGGACGUGUCCCCGGAUGAGUGUACCUGAAGAAAAAGCAUCGGCUAACUCCGUGCCAGCAGCCGCGGUAAUACGGAGGAUGCGAGCGUUAUCCGGACUUAUUGGGUUUAAAGGGUGCGCAGGCGGUCUGUUAAGUCACCGGUCAAAGCCCGGGGCUCAACCCCGGCCCGCCGUUGAAACUGGCAGU
This 305-nucleotide ribosomal RNA is filed under the name uncultured bacterium. RNAcentral's name for it is "bacterial SSU rRNA". It matches the Rfam family "Bacterial small subunit ribosomal RNA", at positions 337 to 640 of the family's 1533-position model. The record is from RNAcentral.